GCGGUUUUGUCAGAAGUAGGAAAGUAAACAGAAGAAGGUGGUGUGAAGUGAACAGCCGCUCUCUUUAGGGAACCGUGAAAGAGAGGAAGUUCAUAAUUGAGUUCCUUGGGGCCAAGCUGCAGAAACACAGCUAAACCUUGGUCAAGACGGGCUUGACUUUACCUCAGCUCAGGACCUGGGAAUCACCUCUUUGGAAUGUAAUCAUUUUAAGAAGACAGCACGCCUAUAUCCCAGUUUCUGCGGGCAGGUAGGAGGAGCCCCACCUUGGCCAACUUGCAAAACUACCUCUGGUCAUAAAGGUAUAAAUGGCGCGCCACUAAAGAGAGCUAGUCGAGCUUGCCUCUGAAAUGGUUGGACAAGGGCUUUUAGUAGAUACAGCCACAUGCUUCAGAAGUUAAGAAAAUCACACACAAACCUCUAAGAACUCUGCUUGGUAUGAGGACUGAGAUGUGUUGAUCUGGACUGGGUGGAAGCAUGGUUCGAGAAUGUGAUUUGAG
Neogale vison (American mink) is the source of this 497-nucleotide long non-coding RNA. RefSeq lists it as uncharacterized. The record is from RefSeq and is a predicted model, not a curated record. Lineage: Eukaryota; Metazoa; Chordata; Mammalia; Carnivora; Mustelidae. The transcript is spliced from 5 exons.